Molecule: long non-coding RNA, 5238 nt
Filed under: Sus scrofa (pig)
Lineage: Eukaryota; Metazoa; Chordata; Mammalia; Artiodactyla; Suidae
Description: lncRNA (ENSSSCG00000059149.1)
Source: RNAcentral
UAUAAUAUUCCACCAUGUGUAUAUGUGAUGUGUAUCUGUAUAUGUAUGUGUGUAUAUAUACAUUUCCUUUAUCCAUUCAUCUGUUGAUGGACAUUUAGGUUGCUCCCAUGUCUUGGCUAUUGUGAAUAAUGCUACCAUGGACAUGGGAGUUGAGAUACCUCUUUGAGAUUCUGAUUUCAAUUCUUUUCGGAUAUCUGCUCAGAAGAGAGGAAUUGCUAGAUUAUACAGUAGUUCUAUUUUAAAGUUUUUGGGGAACAUCCAUACUGUUUUCCAUAGUGACAAUCCCAGUUUACAUUCUUACCAACAGUGUACCUGGCUCACUUUUCUCUACAAUCUCCCGACACUUAUUAACAGGGUUUUUUUUUGGUUUUUGUUUGGUUUUGUUUUUUUGCUUUUUAGGGCCGCACCUGCCGCAUAUGGAAGUUCCCACACCAGGGGUUGAAUUAGAGCUUUAGCUGCAGGCCUGCGCCACAGCUACAGCAACUCAGGAUCUGAGCCACGUCUGCAACCUACACCACAGCUCACAGCAAUGCCAGAUCCUUAACCCAGUGAACAAGGCCACGGAUCGAACUUUUGUCCUCAUGGAUUCUAGUCAGGUUUGUUAACUGCUGAGCCAUGACAACUUAACAAUUAACAGUUUUUAAAAUAAUAAACAUCCUAGCAGGUGUGAUAUAUCUCAUUGUGGUUUUCAGGUGAAUUUCCCUUAAAAUGAUGGAAAUGAUGAUUAGUGAGUGGAACACAUUUUCAUAUGUCUGUUGGCCAUUUGUACGUCUAAUUAGAGAACUGUGUCUGUUCUGUAGGUUCCCUUUUCCUUUUCUUGGUUGUUUCUUUUGCUGUGCCUUUCUUUUGAUGUAGUCCUACUUGUCUCUUUUUUCUUUUGCUGCUUGUGCUCAUAGAGUCAAAACCAAGAAAUCGCUGCUCUUAGAUUUUCCUCUAUGUUUUGUUAGGGUCAGUUUCAUUUGAAGUAGACGAGCUCAAGACUGGAUAGGCUUGGUUCCUCCAAAGCAAAAUAGGGGUCCACUUACCAAAAAAAGGAGAGAUACUGGGUGGAGAAAACAACAGACCCACCCUAGGCAGAGUGAGUGAUAACCCACCUUCGAUACUUCCAGCUGCAUUUGCAGGGGAGGCAGGAAGUUUCUCUGCUGAUAAAUUGUGUGGGUCAUCAGGAGAACUCCUGCUAGCUCUGGACUGACAACUCCCAGACUCCUUUCAUGAGAAUAAGCUCCUAAUUUGUUUAAGUCAUUAAGAAAAACAUCUUCCAUAUGGAAAGAAAAACAUGACAUAUUUUUCAUGUUGGCAGAGCCAACGUGGGCAUUUUCAUCGCCCAGGGGAAAGCACGAGAGCUCUUUCAUGGUAUUCUAUCGCAAGGUCCUGGAGUGACUUCGGGAGAAAUGAAGAGGUCUUGAAUUCAACCUCCUUCUUUUCAACCCAGCUGAUGCAGUUUCCUUCUUGAAAACAGUCCUGUAUUUCAGUAUAACAUAUAUGUUCCAUAAUAACAAAACGUUGGAACAAAAAGCAAUCGUUGAGUUUAAUGUAAUUCUCAUGUUUUCAGGGGUCUUCAUGAAAAGACCCGAUUUCCAUUUGGUGGGAGCUGAAGUGCUUAAUGAAAUAUUUAUAGAGAGAAGACAGGCUUCCUUGCUGCCUCAUUUAGACUUGCCCUAGAUCAAAUCAAUACUCAAGUGAUCAUAUAAAAGAAAUUAAAACCUUUAAACAGCGGCUAGAACAGUGGUUGAAUUCAAAUCAGGGCAAGUCUAGGGGGAAGAAAGUAAGUGGAAAUGUAUCUCGCACAGCUUUUAGGAAUUGUUCAAUCAUAAUUCAGAGUAAGAUAACCUGGAACUAUAUGUUAAAACACUUAAAUGACUCAUUCAAAAAGGACACCACUAAUUAAAGGGAUAAGAGAUUACCACUGGUGGUUGUGACUGGAACGUAUAUGCAUAUCAUAUUUAUUCUCUGUGAAGAUGCUUCGAAGGCACUUAAAACUCCCAUGUACUUGGUAUUUAUAUUCUGACCCUGCCUUUUGAUUUGAAUGCCUCUUACGUAGGCAAUGCUGGGAGUGGAGGGAAAGGCAGUGUGGGGACAUGGAAAGAACAGAAACUGGAAUUCCGACGGGGACUCGACUCUUCAGGGUCUGCUGCCGUCCAGCCUGGAGCAGUGGUGAGUUUCCUUGGUGCCUCAACUCCCUUCUCAGAAAAGACUGUCACAAUCCUGUCCCAUUUUCACAUCCUGUGAUUUUGCAAGUCAGGCGCAGCAGCACAACUUACAAGGAAAGCAUGUGAGCAACAAAACUAAGCCUUCCAGAGCCUCUGCCAACAGUAAACCAAAGUCCAGCAGUCACUGUGCCUCGUACCUUAUAUUCACUCAUAUGCAUAUAUGCUACACACAUCACACACAACACGUCAUACACAUACACAUCACACAUCAAGUAUCCAUAUGAAACAUACAUCAUAUAGACAUAUAAAUAAGAUAUAUACAUGAUAUGUACAUGAUAUAUGUGUACACACACACACACACACACACACACACACACACACACACACGUGCGCGCGAGCGCGCAUUGCAGUAUCUACCAAGUAUCAGGCUCUGCAUUACAGGAAAUCCAUAUAGCAGGUGCUGAGUCAAGUUUCAAAGUACAGGCUCUUCAGCCAGACUUCUUUCUAUGAGUCCUGGCCACUCUACUUGCUAGGUAACUUUAGAUGAGAGUUUUAUUUUUUCCCCAGAUCCCAUCCCAAUGAAAUGAGCCCUAUUUUUUUUUUUUUUCCUUUCUCAUUUUAUGGCUGCAGGUGAGGCAUAUGGAAGUUUCUGGGCUAGGGGUCGAACUGGAGCUGCAGCUGCAGGCCUAUUCCAUAGCCACAGCCACAGCCACGGCAGAUCCGAGCUGCAUCUUUGAUCUAUGUCCUGCAGCUUGUGGUGAACUCCAGAUCCUUAAUUCACUGAGAGAAGCCAGGGAUUGAACUCACAUCCUCACGUCAAGCCACGGUUGCCAUCUAUGCCAUCGGAUCCUUAACCCACUUUGCCCUGCAUCCCAGCGCCCCAGAGAUGCUUCCAGCCCCAAUGUGCCACAGCAGGAACUCCAAGUUGAGCCUUUCUCAUCAAGUUUUCUGAAAGGCUUUCGGGGAUCCGGGAAGAAGCUGAGCUUGUCUGCCUGGACCAUGUCCAUGUCCAAGAACUGGCACCGAUCAGGACAAACCAUGUACCACAUCCCCAGGCCCUCGGCAGAGCCCUUUAGACCUUUUACUUAACCUCGGUGCACCUCAAUUUUGUCCUUUUAAAACUGGGGACAAAUCCCAGUUUCUACCUCAUGGUGCUGGCAUGAGGCCCGAAUGAGUUAAUACGUAAAGACAUACCCAUAUUUCUGCCCAGUGUACAUACUCUGCUCACUGUCAGGCCAUUUAAUGCUCCCAAGAUCUUUAUAAUGUACAGUGUUGGUUCAAAAUCUCAAGGACUUGGAGGGUGAAAUCUGAAACUGGCCUUAAAAUAGGGAGGGCGAGGCGAGACCGAGGAAGGAGGCAGGCGGCUCCUGAUUGGUGGAUGCAGCUCUAACAAGCCAGGGAAUUUACAUACGGGGCGUGUCUUGGGCACCGCACGAUGGAAGUAGAUCUGUAUCCAGGGCCAUAGGUUUUUACACAGGGGCCUUAACGGGUUUCAGUCACAGAUUCAGUCUGAUGGUCUCAACCACACCUCUGGCCAGUCUUCAUCCUUGAAACAGCUCACUGAGGGAGAAGGUGGAAUGCACCUUCCAAGGAUGGGAGCUGGGGAGGAGCUUCUGAUCGCCUGAGUUGGGCUCACAGGUCAGUCGGCGGUCAGGUCCUCUCACAGACGUCAGCAGUGUAGAUAUUUUUACCUCUAUAUCACGUGGCAUCUGAAGGUCAACGAGACUGAGCCAUUUGCCCAACAUCAUCCUGGGAUCUGAUACAACUGUUACGGUCAGAGUAGGCAGUUUGAUGCUGUUCUCCAUGGCAGAAAAUUGUCACCAGGCAAGGUGCUCCCUUGUCUCUGGGUCACGUGGCUGACUUUUUGUUUCAAGCCGAUUCCAGCUUCAAUCCAUAACCCAUGUCCACCUUCUGCAGGGGGCGAGAAUGUUCCCUUUCAUCCAUAAAGGGUAACCAGCUGCAGGAAGAGGCAACAGUCGUGACAUUACCAUCUACAGGCCGCUCUGGGGGCCAAGAGAGGUGCUGAGACCAACUGGCCAAGGGCUGCAGAAAAGUUAGGUGCUCUGCGGGAGAAAGUAAAUGCUAAAUCAUCAAGAGAUGCAUAGAGGUACACUUCAGAGCUACUGCAAUAGAGUAGGUAUCAUAAGGAAGCCAGUCACGGGAAUUUUUUGGUUUCCCAGUGCAUAUAAAUGUUAUGCUUACAUUAUACUGGAAUCUGUUGUGUACAAUAGCAUUAUGACAAAAGAACCCCAACGUCCAUAUUUUAAAAAACACAUUAUUGCAGGAGUUCUCCUAUGGCUCAGCGUGUUAAGGAUCUGGCAUUGUCACUAUAGCGACUUGGGUCCCUGCUGUGGUUCGUGUUCUGUCCCUGGUGCAGGAACUUCCACAUGCUGCAGGUGAGGCCAAAAAAAAUCUUUUUUAUUACUAAAAAAUGCUGUCAUUUGCACUUCUGGUGAGUCGGUGAGUAGUAACAUCAAAGAUCACUGAUCUCCAAGCGAAUAUAUUAUUCGUUAUUGCUAAUGAAAUAGUUUGAAAUAUUGCGAGAAUUACCAAAAUGUGACCCAGGUAGGAGGUGAGAAAAUGCUGUUGGAAAUAAUGGCGCCAAUAGACCUGCUGGAAGCACGGUUGUCAUAAAAUUUCAGUUUGUGCGAAACAAAACAUAUGCGAAGCACGAUAAAGCGGAGUGCAAUGAAACCAGCUAUGCCUGUGUAUUAGUACCUGUGAAAUGGAGUUUUAACUAAAGAACAACCCCCCCCCCUUGGCUAAGAAGGCAGAUGGAGGCCUUUCCAGCUAUGCUCAUCACUAUGCCACCCUUCUUGUAAUAAUGUAACAACUGUGUGCUCUCUGUCCAAGCCAGCAGCCCUGCUGAUUAGGUACCCAGCAUUGCUUAUCAGUUCUGCUUCUGUAACCUUGCUUGCUCAGUUUCUUAGGGAGGAACACUGCUUGGGGAUGGGAGAGGUCCGGGAUGCUUACAUGGGAAAAUCAAGACUUGUAGUGUAUAAAAGUUACUGAGAACAAAGACCUGGUGCUCAGACUCUGGGGGUGACUCCUCUGAGCCCGCACCGCUGCUGAAUAAACCUUGCUUUUC